GGGUGUUUUGAAUGAAAAUUUUAAACACCUAACCCUUCUAUUGUGCCACCAGAACCCAACAGGACAUAUUCCUUUCAAUCUCCCACUUACACUAAAGCCAAUCAUCCUUAUAUUUUAUCCCCAUACAAUCGAGGUGGCGAUCGAAUUACUACUGUGGUAAAGCUUUAGUGAAGGGAUCUGAUAUGUUGUUCUUUGUUUCUACUCGUUCAAUGACAAUAUCUUAUCUUUUGAUUAUUU
RNAcentral lists this long non-coding RNA (237 nucleotides) under Elaeis guineensis (African oil palm). RNAcentral describes it as "long non-coding RNA (EGUI_LNC073240)". Lineage: Eukaryota; Viridiplantae; Streptophyta; Magnoliopsida; Arecales; Arecaceae. The record is from RNAcentral.